This 109-nucleotide ribosomal RNA is filed under the name Pteropus alecto (black flying fox). Lineage: Eukaryota; Metazoa; Chordata; Mammalia; Chiroptera; Pteropodidae. The record is from RNAcentral.
GUCUACGGCCAUGCUACCCUGAACACAUGCGAUCUCGGAAGCUAAGCAGAGUCAGGCCUGGUUAGUACUUGGAUGGGAGACCACUUAGGAAGACCAGGUGCUAUAGGCA